CCAUGCAGAUGUGUCUCCUUCAUUCAUUUCUUUGCUCAUUUACUUCCAUGAGUAGCUGCCUACUCUGUUUCUAGCCCACCCCCCAUUACUGAUUUUACAAACCAAUUGGAAGUAUAGAUAAGCAAUUAUAAUAAAUCCUAAGUCCUAUAUUUGAAAUACAAACUAUCAGCUAUUUGACAACAGAGAAGGGGGCAACUAUUCCUGCCUGGCCUGUGAGGGAAGACUGCAGAGAAGAGCUACAUAUUUGAAAUUUGGAAAAGGGGAGAAGAACCAGACAGAUGCUGCAGACUACGUUUUCUGCUCUGACCCCCUCCAAAGCCUGAGCACACUUCCAGGGGCAGGAAAAAGGAGAAAUAGAGAGGGUGUCAUGAGACUCAGCAAUCUGGGGGCUACAGAGACAGUGCAACUAACUCCUUCCAUCCCAUUUAGCAGGAAGCAGCUGACGUACCUUUCAACCUCUGACGGACCAGCGAGGGGAAAACCCACAUUAUGCUGAAACAUUUCCAGGGCCAGCCUGCUUACUAUUUAAGGGAAACAUCAUUUUUUAAAAGAAAGGGAAGUAGAAAGGAAGAUGAAACCUUUUUAUGACUUCAUUUCAAAAUGAUAAUACAAUAAGGUAUCCUAAAAUAUAAUACAGUAACUUUAUCUCAAAAUGAUAAUACAAUGCUUCUAUUGUACUACUAGAAGGAACUGGAAUAAAGGAAGAUAAAUUGGAAUUGUUAA
Long non-coding RNA from Eptesicus fuscus (big brown bat), 723 nucleotides. RefSeq lists it as uncharacterized. The record is from RefSeq and is a predicted model, not a curated record. Lineage: Eukaryota; Metazoa; Chordata; Mammalia; Chiroptera; Vespertilionidae. The transcript has 2 exons.